ACUCCCUCUCGACUCCGUUCAACUCCUAAAAACAUAUCAGCCAUAGACUCGAAUAUCUGCGGAUCACCAGCAACCAACUUCCCGUCUCCCGACUCUCCCCCAUCUUGGACCCACCAAAAGCAACGUUGCGGGUCUCUUUCCGUCGUAUCGUUCUCGCUGUUCUCGCCCUUCUGGCUCCAACUCAUUCGACGGUGAUUGGAAAUAUGGACUUGGCAGCAACCUUAAUCGGUAACUCUAAUCUGCGCCAAAAUAUUAUCUCUCCAACCCUUUUGUAAAUAGUCUUUUGUAUUUCGAUCCAGCUCUGGAAUUAACCUUUUGCGGCCAUG
RNAcentral lists this unclassified non-coding RNA (326 nucleotides) under Yarrowia lipolytica. The record is from RNAcentral. Lineage: Eukaryota; Fungi; Ascomycota; Dipodascomycetes; Dipodascales.